Molecule: long non-coding RNA, 2493 nt
Filed under: Theobroma cacao (cacao)
Lineage: Eukaryota; Viridiplantae; Streptophyta; Magnoliopsida; Malvales; Malvaceae
Description: long non-coding RNA (TCAC_LNC001340)
Source: RNAcentral
UAAAUUAAAAUGGAAGGAAACAAAAAACAGUAAAACAGUAAUUUUAUGUGAAGUUUGGUCAAAGCUUUCAAAUGAAGCUUUGACUCUGAUUUUUUUUAGGCCAAUACCGACCUUAUCCUUUCCCCCAGUAGAUUUUUCUUCUUCUUCAUCCAUGCUCCACACCAUUCUUGAACCUUCCAUGCCAUUUUCUCUUUAUCCACCAGGAAAUCAAGUUUUCUUCACUUUCCUUUCCAUGUUUCCUUUUCCUUUCUUCUCCAAACUUCUUGAGCAUUAAAUUUACAGCCUUUAACCCCAAUUUCCAACACACCAAAAACUUAGGAGGAGAAGAAAGAAAAAGACAGAAAGGAAGAAAAAGCUUGGUUUUGGUGAUUCAAGUAAGGAAAGGUAAGGAUUCUUGUUUUUAGCUUGAGUAGUCUUUGAAAAUAAGUUAGUGACUUAGAGAAAUGUCUUGUGGUGGCAAAGAUUGGCUUGAUUGGAGAAAAAUUGAUAACAUGUAAGCCAAUAAACCCAUGGGUACAUGAAGGACUCAAAGUGGAAAAGGAAAACGGUAAGCUUAACACUAUGUUUUAAGGCUUACGGUUAGUCGAAUAUUGUGAGGAAUUAUGGUUGUUGAAAGGAUUUAUUUGCCUAAGCUAGUUGAAAAUUAUUAAGAUUUUAUGGCAUAUUGUUUAAAAGAAAUGAAAAAGGAAUAUUGUGGAUGGAGGAUUGAGAAACAAAGUAUUGAAAGUUAGAUAGAUAACAAUGCAUGUAAACUAGGAAAUAAUCAAGUGAAAGUGAGAAUGAUUGUUGCUGCCACAUAUGUGGAUUAUGUGUGGAAAUAUAAAAUGAAUUUGGAUAGAAAUUAUUUAUAAAGGUUGAAGUAGGCACGUGGCAUCAUAAAUAAGUUUUCGGUGAUAUAAUCUAAGGAAUUACGUACGCAAUGGAUAUAAGUAAUUUUAGUAAAAAUGUAUUAAGAGGUAAGUUAAUUGAAGAUGGUUUCAUAAUAGGAUGAAAAAUAUAAAUUUAAGUAAGGAUUAAUUAAUUGAAGUGUAUCCCGUAUACGUAUGUAAUUAAAUAUAUUGAGUUCGUAUUAUUGUUAGAAAGUGCAAGGAUAAGGUUAGAGAUGUGGUGGCAUGCUGGAGUAAAUAACGAGCGAUCGACCAGUGAAAAUAGUUAGAGACACCUUUGAACAAAUAGCGACUUAAUAUCUCUUUGUUUUCAGGUGAGUGAACUUGCAUUAAAAUGUUUUGGGAUAUACACAUUUAUGUUUGAUUGAAUCCCUUAAAAUGUUUUAUUGGUUUUUCUUCAAAAACUUGCACGGGAACAAGCCUUUAGUGAAAUGUUUUUGUGAGGUGGAACAUGAUUGUGAUGAAUCUAUGUACUUCUAUAUGAUGCUGAUAUGUAUAUAAGGAUAUAUGAUACAUAUAUAUUGUUAAGUAAUUUUGUAUAAUUGAUGUAACCGUGCAUGUGCAGAGUGGGUAGUGCACAUGCCGGUUGAAUGACAAUGUCAUGAUAAUUACAACCGUGCAUGUGCAAGUGGGCACUGCACAUGCCGGUAAUGAUGCUGUCAUGAUAUUUACAGUCGUGCAUGUGCGGAGUGGGUAGUGCACAUGCCAGUGAUGAUGCACAUGAGCUGGGUGAGAUGGGGUGUCCGGUUAUGUGCACUAUGUGGGGGGAUGCACAUGAGCUUGAUGAAAUAUGGUGGUAUACUAAUUGAUAUAUGCUUAAGUACAUGUAUCUACAAUAGAAAGAUUAUGAUUAUAAUAUGUGAUUAUAUGACAUGAUGAAUCUUGAAAAUUUUCCAUUUUCUUGUGAAUUGAUUUUAUUGUAGCAAGAAACAUUCUGUUUAUACUGCUUUGCUUAGAUGAUUGUUGAAAAUUCUCUCUCUUUCCAAUUUCAUGCUAAAUAUGGUUCCUUCAUUAUGAAAUGAUUUAAUAACCAGAGGUUUGAUGGAGGGAUUUUAAUAAGAACGUGAACUAAGUUGCAUUGUUUUCAAAGAUGGGCAUCAUGAUUUCUAAACCUUCCUUAACGUUGCUUGUUCCCUUCCUAUGUUCACUCACUGAGUUUGUACUCACAUUUUUAAAAAUUCAUGUUUUAGGUUUUCCUGAGUUAAAGGUGAUUGGAUCCUAGGACAAGGUGCUCCUUUCUAUACAUUGCUCGGUAGGUUUAAUGUGACAUUAAGUGUUAUCAAUCGUGCCCAGAGUCACUCCGCUGAAGGUCAAGGUCUAAUUAUGUGUAUCUGAAUAUUUACUGUGAAACAUUAAAAAUCAUUUGUUAAUCUAUUUAUGAAUAUAUUGGUGGAUGAUGCCAUUAUGAAUGUAUUAUUGGAUUUUAUGAAUCGUUUUCAAGGAAACAGUAUUUGAACAUUUUGAGCUUUGGAUUCUAAAGGAAUAAGGAUUAAUGUAUAAGAUCAAUUAAGUAGGCUUGCUUGGGCUUAGUGGGCUGAGCCCAUUAGGUCCUUGUGCCGGUCAUGGCCCCAGAAUUGGGCUAUGACAAACUCCAUCUCGAGUCUUA